AGCGAACGCUGGCGGCAGGCCUAACACAUGCAAGUCGAACGAUCCCUUCGGGGAUAGUGGCAGACGGGUGAGUAACGCGUGGGAACGUGCCCUUUGGUUCGGAACAACACAGGGAAGCUUGUGCUAAUACCGAAUGUGCCCUUCGGGGGAAAGAUUUAUCGCCAUUGGAGCGGCCCGCGUUGGAUUAGGUAGUUGGUGAGGUAAAGGCUCACCAAGCCUACGAUCCAUAGCUGGUCUGAGAGGAUGAUCAGCCACACUGGGACUGAGACACGGCCCAGACUCCUACGGGAGGCAGCAGUGGGGAAUCUUGCGCAAUGGGCGAAAGCCUGACGCAGCCAUGCCGCGUGAAUGAUGAAGGUCUUAGGAUUGUAAAAUUCUUUCAGCAGGGACGAUAAUGACGGUACCUGCAGAAGAAGCCCCGGCUAACUUCGUGCCAGCAGCCGCAGUAA
This 449-nucleotide ribosomal RNA is filed under the name uncultured bacterium. RNAcentral's name for it is "partial 16S ribosomal RNA". It matches the Rfam family "Bacterial small subunit ribosomal RNA", at positions 29 to 523 of the family's 1533-position model. The record is from RNAcentral.